RNAcentral lists this small RNA (482 nucleotides) under Malus domestica (apple). Its description in RNAcentral is "sRNA MD09G0130500". The record is from RNAcentral. Lineage: Eukaryota; Viridiplantae; Streptophyta; Magnoliopsida; Rosales; Rosaceae.
AUGGGUUUUCCCCAACCCGUAUACCCGCGCAACCCGCGACUUCCAAUCGGCAGGUUUUCGCCAUUUUCGUUCAAUUUUCCGACGAAUUGAGUCAAGGACCUAAAACAAAGCCCAAGAGGUAAUUGAGGCAUUGGAACAAGUUUGAAGGUCGAAUUGGAAACACCCAAUUCUAGGGUUCUUCACGGUUUUGGUGAAAUUGAAGCACUUCCAGGCCAAAUUGGCCUUGGCCUCAGGCGCUAAUCGUCAUGACGCCUUGAUGUACGGUGCUAGGGAGUUGUGGGCGAACUCCAGGUUCAAGUUAGCAGAGCUUUGGUGGCCACGAGGAAUCCAACGGUGUUCUGACAGAAUUCACAAAAGUAGGACUCACCCUCGGGUGUGUUAUCUUAGUAAUUGGAAAUUUUUUUAAAGCUUCCGAACUGUGUAAAUGGUUACGUCACUCUCACGUGACGGCCAGCAUGCCCUCCUUCGGGACGGGGUGUGUC